UUGAUCCUGGCUCAGGAUGAACGCUAGCGGCGCGCUUAAAUGCAUGCAAGUCGAGCGAUGAGACUCCUACGGGAGCACAUCAGCGGCAGACGGGUGAGUAACACGUAGAUGACGUACCCUCAAGACGGGGAUAACGGAUGGAAACAUGCGCUAAUACCGGAUGACCUUACGAUGUCAGAAUGGUAAGGAAAGCUACGGCGCUUGAGGAGCGGUCUGCGGCCCAUCAGCUAGUUGGUAGGGUAAAGGCCUACCAAGGCGAAGACGGGUAGGGGGUGUGAGAGCACGGNCCCCCACAAUGGGACUGAGACACGGCCCAUACUCCUACGGGAGGCAGCAGCAGGGAAUAUUGCACAAUGGACGGAAGUCUGAUGCAGCGACGCCGCGUGAGUGAAGAAGGCCUUCGGGUUGUAAAACUCUUUUGAGGGGGAAGAGCGAGGACGGUACCCCUGGAAUAAGCGUCGGCUAACUACGUGCCAGCAGCCGCGGUAAGACGUAGGACGCGAGCGUUAUCCGGAUUUACUGGGCGUAAAGCGUCUGUAGGCGGAUGUGUAAGUUGGGCGUGAAAGCUCCGGGCUUAACCCGGAGAGGCCGUUCAAUACUGCAUAACUUGAGGGUGUCAGAGGGGAGCGGAAUUCCCGGUGUAGCGGUAAAAUGCGCAGAGAUCGGGAGGAACACCAGUGGCGGAGGCGGUUCCCUGGGGCACACCUGACGCUGAGAGACGAAAAGCUAGGGGAGCGAACAGGAUUAGAGACCCUGGUAGUCCUAGCCCUAAACGAUG
RNAcentral lists this ribosomal RNA (778 nucleotides) under uncultured organism. Its description in RNAcentral is "bacterial SSU rRNA". It matches the Rfam family "Bacterial small subunit ribosomal RNA", at positions 13 to 811 of the family's 1533-position model. The record is from RNAcentral.